This 145-nucleotide unclassified non-coding RNA is filed under the name soil metagenome. RNAcentral's name for it is "partial internal transcribed spacer 1". The record is from RNAcentral.
UAAUAAGUGUUUUAUGGCACUUUUUAAAUCCAUAUCCACCUUGUGUGCAAUGUCUGUCGAUCUUCUUCAUGGAGAUCGACCAAACAUCAACCUUUAUCUUUUAACUCUUUGUCUGAAAAAUAUUAUGAAUAAACAAUUCAAAAUA